GGCAGAUCUUGGGUGAUGCACCCCGGAAUCGGGCUCCCUCCUCUCUAGUUCUGGAGUGCUUCACAGGAGAACCGCC
Non-coding RNA from Myotis lucifugus (little brown bat), 76 nucleotides. The record is from Rfam. NCBI's taxonomy places the organism in Eukaryota, Metazoa, Chordata, Mammalia, Chiroptera, Vespertilionidae.